CUUCCAUGAAAGUCUUUGGCCACAAACUGAACAGGCAAAAAGUUUCUUGCCAGUGUGGGUUCUUAUGUGCUUUGUUAGGUUUGCCUUCACAGAGAAUGUUUGACCACAAACUGUGCAGGAAAAAGGUUUCUCGUCAGUGUGUGUUCUUUAAAUAUUCUCUAGUACGGACUCGUGUUUGCGCUGUCCAAUUUGUCCUGAUAACAGAAAUUCCUCAUUUGGGAAAUGAGAAUGGUACAUGUCCUUUAUGAACCUGCAAGUAUGUUGACAAAAUGCACGUGUAACAACACAAUCAAUAAAAUACAAAAAUAUACUGUCCAAAAACUGUUUAUAUAAAAAAACUGCAAUA
Molecule: long non-coding RNA, 346 nt
Organism: Hippocampus zosterae (dwarf seahorse)
Lineage: Eukaryota; Metazoa; Chordata; Actinopteri; Syngnathiformes; Syngnathidae
Exons: 3
Source: RefSeq, a predicted model, not a curated record